AUCUGGUAGUCUAGAUAAGGUCAGAGGCAGAAAGACGCUGUCAAGGACUCUUGCUGCCUUUGCUAGCUCGUGGGUGCCAUGAACUGUUCUCUGCACUACCCGCUGCCAUGUGCUGCUCUGUCUUAGAACCAUCCAACCAGGAACAGUGAGGCCCCCCAGGACCUGCAAUGCAGCACAUCUGCACCCCCAUCCCAUCUGCCUUCAUCCUGACCUCCCCUCAACAAGAAAGAAGCCCUGUUUACAGGAGGAGGAGGAACACAGCAUUUCCUGGGACGUGGCGAGGGCGGAAAGUCUGAGGGCACUUCUGAGCAGCUAGCUUUUAUCUGUUCAGAUGCCUCCUACAGACAUGUGGAGCAGGAAGAUGGUCAGACACUGGGGUCCAACCAGCCCAUAGGCAAGACACAAAUGGGGAGCUGACAUCCUGUGAAGACUUUUCCAAUAGCCAUCCUGUGCAGGGUGGGGUGCCCCAGGAGGGGCCCGUGGGCCCACACAGGCCUCAGAGGCAAGACAAGGGACUGCCACCAUGGACAGAUGCUGAUUUGGGAUGUUCAGGACAAAACAAAAAGCCUGGGGCUGGGGGUUUAGCUCAGCGACAUAAGCACCUGCCUUGAAAGCAGACAGUCGUGAGUUCGAUCCCUGGUACCGAUAAAAAGGAAAAAGACCAAAAACAAAAACAAAAAGCCUGUGCUUGUCAUUCCUUAUCUUGGUGUCCCCUCCUCGGCCACACCAGCAUCUGGAGAGGCUAAGAGACUCAAAGAGGGAGGAGGAUGAAUGUGUAGGCAUGAUGCCCAGCAGCCACGAUGUCUCACCCCCAGGCUGGGCACAGAAUACCAUCUGGGAAGAAGUGAGGAUGGGCAGAUUUAGAGAAGGAGGAGGGCUCUGGGAAGAAGAUGCAGCCUGUGCAGGCUUCGUGGCCCCCUCCAGGGACCCCAAUUUGAAGCGCCAACCUCUUAGGAGGAGAAGAAAUGUUGUUGAUCCCCCUGGUGUUCAGGGGACACUUAACGAUGCUUGGUGAGAUUGUACAACCUCUUCUCCAUUGCAGACGGGACCUCUAGGAACCCUAGCAGACUUGGAGAAGGCUCAGGUUCUUCAGCAUAACGCCUGAGGAUUGGCAAAACUUGUACCCUUGGCUGCUUAUCGACACAGGGAAACCCAGUGAAGAGCUUCUUCAUUCCUGUAACAUGAGGAAAUUUCCUGCCCAGCACAUGAACUGACUUCCCCAGCUACUCUGUGCCCUCACAGCCUGUGUGGCAGGGCUACCAGGGGGGCAGCCAGCAAGGCAGAAGAGCCAAGCAGGCGACAGCUAUGAGACUGCUGCCAGAUGCUGGAGGAUCUGAGAUUCUUGUGGGAAGGAACGCCCUGAAAGCAAUGGGAAAGUUCCUUCUGGUCAUUGAGGAGCCAGACCAACUCUAAAAUUCACACAGCUGGGCAAAAAGCUCAAAGGAAGAAAAGAUGUGCAAGGAGAAAGAUUCCUCUCCCUUUCCCCAUCCAAGAUGGCUUUGAUACUGAAGAGCUGGAAGACUACUGUCUUUGCUAUAAUCCCAAGACACACCCUGAGCGAUGUCUCCUUCUAACAGGAGGCUGAUGCUGGCUUGAUGCUGUCUUCCCCUGACCCAUCCUGGAGGUGCUGUCAGGGCAGCAUCUCCAUCCAGAGAUAGGUUCAGAGUGUCUUAUCUGAAACCACCCAGGACACAUGUAUAAGAUGCAAAUGUCACAGUGAGCAUCUUACUGGAGUGGACUGCAGGCUCCCCCAGGCCCAGACCCUUGGCUAUUUUGUGGCAGGAGAAAUGAAGGCUAUUCGUGAUCUCACAACAGUUCAAGUCACCUUGUUCUAUCAAAUUUAUUCACGCCAAGUUAAGUGGAAAACCAAGUUUUCAGAACUUUCUAUAUUUUGGGAAUUUGGGAUAAAGGAUUGUGAACCUGUAUAUAUUUUCACAAUUAAUAAAUGUUUGUGGGGCAGAUACCAAAUACUAAAA
Long non-coding RNA from Cavia porcellus (domestic guinea pig), 1976 nucleotides. RefSeq lists it as uncharacterized. The record is from RefSeq and is a predicted model, not a curated record. The transcript has 4 exons. Lineage: Eukaryota; Metazoa; Chordata; Mammalia; Rodentia; Caviidae.